CAAUAGCGUAUAUUAAAGUUGUUGCAGUUAAAAAGCUCGUAGUUGGAUUUGUGGCUGUCACGGGCGGCCUAUCACUUAGUGUUAGUGCUUGCCUGUGUCGCCAUCCUUGGGUGGAGCCCGUGUGGCAUUAGGUUGUCGUGCGGGGGAUGCCCAUCGUUUACUGUGAGAAAAUUAGAGUUUUCAAAGCAGGCUUAUGCCGUUGAAUAUGUUAGCAUGGAAUAAUAAGAUAGGACCUCGGUACUAUUUUGUUGGUUUGCGCACCGAGGUAAUGAUUAAUAGGGACAGUUGGGGGUAUUCGUAUUUCAUUGUCAGAGGUGAAAUUCUUGGAUUUCUGAAAGACGAACUACUGCGAAAGCAUUUACCAAGGAUGUUUUCAUUAA
Molecule: ribosomal RNA, 380 nt
Filed under: uncultured eukaryote
Lineage: Eukaryota
Description: partial 18S ribosomal RNA
Rfam family: Eukaryotic small subunit ribosomal RNA
Source: RNAcentral